UACGGAGGGGGCGAGCGUUAUUCGGAAUUAUUGGGCGUAAAGGGCGCGUAGGCGGCUGUACAAGUCAAAGGUGAAAUCCCUCGGCUCAACUGAGGAACUGCCUUUGAAACUGUACGGCUUGAGGCCGGGAGGGGGUAGCGGAAUUCCCAAUGUAGCGGUGAAGUGCGUAGAUAUUGGGAGGAACACCAGUGGCGAAGGCGGCUACCUGGACCGGUUCUGACGCUGAGGCGCGAAAGCGUGGGUAGCAAACAGG
RNAcentral lists this ribosomal RNA (253 nucleotides) under uncultured bacterium. RNAcentral's name for it is "partial 16S ribosomal RNA". It matches the Rfam family "Bacterial small subunit ribosomal RNA", at positions 524 to 776 of the family's 1533-position model. The record is from RNAcentral.